CAGGCCUAACACAUGCAAGUCGAGCGCCCCGCAAGGGGAGCGGCAGACGGGUGAGUAACGCGUGGGGAUAUACCUAGCUGUACGGAAUAACGCAGGGGAACUUGGAGUAAUACUGUAUACGCCAUUGGGGGGAAAGAUUUAUGGGAGUUGGAUGAGCCCGCGUUGGAUUAGCUAGUUGGUGGGGUAAUGGCGUACCAAGGCGACGAUCCAUAGAUGGUCUGAGAGGAUGAUCAGCCACACUGGGACUGAGACACGGCCCAGAGUCUUACGGGAGGCAGCAGUGGGGAAUAUUGGACAAUGGGCGGAAGCCUGAUCCAGCCAUGCCGCGUGAGUGAUGAAGGCCAUAGGGUUGUAAAGCUAUUUCACCGGUGAAGAUAAUGACGGUAACCGGAGAAGAAGCCCCGGAUAACUUUGUGCCAGCAGCCGCGGUAAU
RNAcentral lists this ribosomal RNA (433 nucleotides) under uncultured bacterium. Its description in RNAcentral is "bacterial SSU rRNA". It matches the Rfam family "Bacterial small subunit ribosomal RNA", at positions 43 to 524 of the family's 1533-position model. The record is from RNAcentral.